This 17664-nucleotide long non-coding RNA is filed under the name Capsicum annuum. Its description in RNAcentral is "long non-coding RNA (CANN_LNC020182)". Lineage: Eukaryota; Viridiplantae; Streptophyta; Magnoliopsida; Solanales; Solanaceae. The record is from RNAcentral.
CACGUGAGCCUAUUAUACAGAGUGUGUAAAUUGUAAGUUGUCUUAUCAUUCUUUGAGGAGGAGUUGUUUAUAUAGCAAAAGAUCACAAAAAUAAAAGGAAGAAAAAUAUUUGAUAAUUCAAUCAAGGAGAUUAUUCAAUGAGGUAAAUCACUUAAGUCCACCAAUCAUGCUAUGGUUGCCACAAAUAAACAAAUAAGAAUCUGUCUAAAUCUUAAUAUUGAAAUCUUCCAUAAAUAAAAUAAGGAAAAGAAAAUUCUCCCUACUUAUUAAAGGAAGUGAAGAGGGGGUAAAAAACAUUAGUAUCAAUCAGUUGCAAUAUCAUCUAAAUUUAUCAUAAUUAAUACGUAAAUGAAUGUCUGUCACACAAAAUAAGGGCAAAGAGAAAUUAGAAAAUCAAUUAGCGAAAUAGUUCCUCACAAAUAAGGAAAAAUCGAAUUACGCACAAAAUUAGGAUAAAUGAGUCAAAUCGAUAGACAAAAUGUACCUAUAUUAAGUUUGCGAGAUUUGCGAUGCAGUAGGCAAAGUAAUAGGGGUGAAUUGUGAUGUAUUUGGAGAUAGGCUACUUUUAUGAGUUAGGAGGGAUUUUUAUAAUUAGUAUAGUGAGAUGGAAUUUUAAGUAAUAAUGGAAAGUUAAGGUGUUGUUUUAAGUAAUUUUUCCUUAAAAAAAUCUAAGUAUAAAGAAGAAUUAUCCACUUUUAAUCAAAAAUAUUUUAGAACUUUGAAUUAAAUGACUCAAAUCUUCAUAUUAAUAAUGUAAAAGUUUUACAACAAUAUCAAGUUAAUAUAACGUAAACCAAUAAUGACUUAACAUUUUAUUAUUUACAAUUAAUCCUUACUUUUAUAAUAAUAAUCAUAUUAAUAGUAAUAAUAUUAAAACAUUUAAUGUCUUUUAAUAAUACUAGAAUUUCUAUUAAAAUUUGUAUUUAGCCCAUUUAUUUAAUACCCUUGCAACUGAAUGAUCAAAAACAUGUUGCAUACUUGCAAAACAAUGAGCUACAGAAGAACAAAUUAAUCAAGUCUAAAAACAAGCAAAACUAAAUGACUAUAUACAUUCUUUAUACAAAGUACAUAUAAUCUUUAUCCACACAAAUAAGGGAUAUGAAGGAGUUAAGUCUGAAAGAAAAAGAAUACCAAAAUCCAUCAAAGGAUUCGAAUAUGUGACCAAAAAUUAAGAAAAGAAAAGAAAAAAAGUAAAAAACUUAAAUGUCAAUGAAGUUAUCAACUAUUCUCUUUCAAUCAAUUACCUGCCAAAUUUUUCUUCGCGGUCCAUCUCUUCCUGCACGUAUCUAUUGCCUCCAGCUUCAUUCUUGCGAGUUCUUGAAAACAUUAUUGAUAUUGUGACUCAAUUGUAUCAAGAUCCAACUUUAACUCGGCGUUGUCCAGAUUAUCUUUCUCUACUAACGAUAAAAAUGAACAAUUGCUGGAUAAUCUCAUGUAUUUAGAAUCUUUAUUUGUAUCCGUCAAGGUGACCUCCAGAUUCAGAUUCUUUUUAAAUUCAUUUGAUAAUAGGCAGUCAACAUAAUCUCCACCAUUUCGAUGUGACUUACCUUCAUGAUGAAACAAGCCCAUGAACUCUAGCUCUAAUAAUUAUCCACUAGAACCUUUAGAGGUUAAAUAUGCACAUGUAAAGUAGUCGCCAAAUCCAAAUGAAUUUGAAGAAUCUUUGUGAAAUUCAAGCAUUAUAGCUUGAUAAUCGAUGAACCAGGAAGAAGAAAGGACAGAGUGUUGUAGGGAAUUUUAUUCUUCAUCGUCUGUACAUUACAGCAUUUCAGCUAUUUAUAUACUUGAGCUAAGAUAGUGAGCUCAUUUCCAGCUUAGUGACAACUCAUCAUAACUGACUAAACACUUUCCUAACAACCUCUAACAACUUACUAUUGCUAAUAGACUAACAAUCGAGAAGCUUCCAGAACCUUUCAUCCAAUAGAACAUUUAGUGUUGUGUGGUUCUGUACAGUGUGUAUCAUAUCUUGAGAUCAUACUUUGAGCUUGGAUCAGUAGUUAAAACACGCCCCUCAAGCUACAGGGUGCAAUAUAUUCAGCACACUAAGCUUGCGUAAUAAAUGAGCAUGUUGGUCUUGUCUUAGUCCCUUGGUUAGAAGUUCAGCCACCUCGUCAUAAGUAUGAGUAUGUAUAGCUUGUAUCAGUCCAUUUUUGAUCUUGUCCCUGAUGAAAUGUGCAGUCAAUCUCUAUGUGUUUUGUUCUCUCAUGAAUCACAGGAUUGUUGUCCAAUUGAAUUGUUGAAUUGCUGUCACUAAACACUGAUAUGGGCAAGGUAAUGUGAACCUUGAGUUCCUAGAACAAACCAACCAACCAAGUUAUCUCUACAACUGCUGAAGCCAUACUUCUGUACUCAGCUUCAGCAGAGCUCCUGGAAAAAUUGUGUUGUUUCUUGGACUUCCAAGAAAUUAAAGAUUCACCAAAAUGAACUGCAUAGCCAGUAACUGAUCACCUGGUGUUGGGACAAGUAGCCCAAUCUAAGUCAUACCAGCAAGUUAGAGUGGUAUAAUUCUCAUCCUUUACCCAGAUUCCUUGACCAAUAGAGCCUUUGAGGUACCUAGCUACCCUGAUAACAGCCUCCCAGUGUGACCUCUUGGGAUGUUGCAUAAACUGGCUGAGAGUGUGGACUGCAAAACUAAUACCUGAUCUUGUAAUAGUGGCAUACAUGAGUUUACCCACUAGUCUUUGAUAAGAAGAAGCAUCAGACAACAAAUCAUCACCUUGUGCACCUGUGGCUUGAUCAUACUCAAGUGAUGUUAACCUUAUAUUGGAUUCGAAGGGAGUGAUUGCAGGUUUUGAACCACUAAGACCAGUAUCUAAAAUUAAUUCUAGGAAAUACUUUUUUUUGUUUAAUAUCACCCCUAAAGUAGAUAUGAGGACUUCAAUACCUAAGAAGUAUUUGAGAUUCCCUUAGUCUGUCAUCUUGAAAUGCUGAUGUAACUUGGCUUUUGUUGCAUCAAUCAAUGCUGCAUUGCUUCCAGUAAGGAGUAGGUCAUCAACAUAUAAAAGAACUACUACUGUGUCAUCACCUUAAUGUAGAAUGAAGAGAGAAUAAUCAUGAGCACUCUGAGUGAAUCCAGUAUCAAAAAAAACAUGAGUCAGUUUCAGGUUCCAUUGUCUGGAAGCCUGCUUGAGGCUAUACAAGGAUUUGAGCAACUUGCAAACUUUGUGCUCUCCUUGGCUUCUGAAACCUUCUGGCAUCUCCAUGUACACUUGAUCUUCAAGAUCCCUUUGUAAAAAUGCAUUAUAGACAUCCAUUUGAUAAAGAGGCCAUCCUCUAGAUACUGCUACAACAAUCACACUAUUGAUAGUAACCAUUUUUGCCACUGGUGAAUAUGUUUCAUGAUAAUCUAGCCCUUCUUGUUGGCUAUAUACCUUGUCCACUAAUCUUGCUUUGAACCUUUCCACUUUACCAUUUGAAAUAUAUUUAAUUUUGUAUAUCCAUUUGGAACCAACAGUGUUCUUUUUUUUGGGCAGGUCAACAAUGGUCCAUGUGUUAUUGGCCUCCAAUGCUUGGAUUUCUAACUUCAUAGCUUCCACCCAUCUUUCAUAUUUUAUAGCUUGUUUAAAGUGUUGAGGCUCAGUCAGAGUGGAGAACUUUAACAAGUACUACUAAUAUGUAGGUUUUAGUUUACUGUAAGAGAGGUUGUUGGCUAAGGGGUGCUUGCAUCUCUGGGUUUUUGAAGUGUCAACAUAAUCAUGCAUCCACACAGGUGGACUGCUUGUUCUUGUUGGUCUACUGGAAGAGGUUUGAGGCAGGGAACGGUCAUCUUGACAUGUUUCUUCAUGAGUGGUGUCAGAUGAAACAGCACCAGGUACUGCAACAUUAGAAGAAGCUUAACUUAGAGAAGGCUCAGCUUGGCAAUCAACUUCAGUAUUUGCAUUAGAGAAAGGUACAUCAGGUGGUGCAGCAUUAGCAAAAUUAGCAUCAUCAACGUGAAUAUCCUCUAAAGGAACAUCAGUACCAACUUCAUUAUCUGUGGAUACCAGGAAUUCAUUGAUGUCUUCAUCAGUUUUGGAAGCAUUUGGAUGCUGUAAUUUUUCUUGUGAUGGAUCAAAGGGGAAUGAAUCUUCUUGGAACACAACUUCCCUACUCACUAAUAGUCUUUUUGAGUGGAUCUCCAGUAGCAAGUAACCCUUUUAACACUCUGAAUAUCCUACCAAUUGGCUUGUGCAACACUCAGUAUAAAAUUAUCACAAAAAUCAUUGCUUUUUGGAUCAAGCCAGCUUCCUUACCAAGAGAAAAACCUCUGAUAAUACCAUUGUUUUCCAGAAAUUCAUCAUUCAUUUCUCUAAAAUGGAGGGAAAGAAUGCCAACAUUAUUCUCAAACUAGACCUGCAGAAAGCUUUUGACAGAAUGGAAUGGUGCUUUAUCAGACAAGCGCUCCACUUUAUGUGUUGUGUGUUACUUAAAUAAUAUUGGUCACUUUUUAAAAAAGUAAAUUAGAAAAAAAAAAACGGAUCUAAAUGCAACAUUUUAUCUUUUUGUUGUAUUUCCGAAAGAUAAAGAUUGGUAAUCUGUUGCAAAAAUAUAUUCCACAUCUCAGAUAACUUACAACAUAUGGACAAUCUGUUGUAACAUAUGGAUAUAUCAGUUUGCUUUUCCUUUAGUUGCGGCGUCUGUUGCAACUUGCUAGUCAUCUGUUUAUUCAAUUUCAUCGAGAGAAAUCAAUUUUUCUAAACACUUCUUGGCCAAAUUCAGUUUUUGCUCUUGGAUUACUUCUCUUUUUUUUCUUUGCAUCCUUCAAACAAACUAAAUUUUUGCUAUUGGAUUGAGGGCAAAAGUUGAAUUUGGAGGCCAUCUUGAAGGAUGCAAAGAAAAAAAAGAGAAGUAAUCCAAGAGCAAAAACUGAAUUUGGCCAAGAAGUGUUUAGAAAAAUCUAUUGCUCUCGAUGAAAUUAAAUAAACAGAUGACUAGCAAGUUGUAAUAGAGGCCACAGCUGAUGGAAAAGAAAAAUGAUAUAUCCAUCUGCUGCAACAGAUUGUCCAUAUGUUGUAAGGUGGAAUAUAUUUUGCAACAGAUUACCAAUAUCUCAUUCGGAAAUACAACAAAAAGAUAAAAUAUUGUAUUUAGAUCCAUUUUUUAAAUUUACAUAUUAAUAAAGUCACCAGUUUUAUUUAAGUAACACACACAACACAUAAAUCCACAAUAGUUUGCAUCAGAUGUGGAGUCUGUUGCGUCAGAUAUGGAGUCUGAUGCAACAGAUAUGGAGUCUGUUGGAAUACAUAGCAGCCUUGCUGGUGGUUUGAUUUGUUCCAUCAGUUGCUCCGUAUGUUGCAACAUCAACAGCAACAUAAACUACAAGCAACAAAUAAAAAAACAUCAAAAAUAAAGAAAACAACAACAUUUGUUCCAACAACAUCAUCAACUACAAAGAAGCAUACAUCCUAUGUUCCAACACCAUCAACAACAAGGGACGGACCCACAUGGAGUCCUCCGGGUGCGCGAGCACAGACUGAACUCGUAACGAACUUUAUAUAUGUAUGUGGAAAUAAAAAAAACAUAUAUAAUCUAAUCAGUGAGCACCUAUAGUAAGAGUUGUUUGGUUAGCCUAGUUGUUGUUUAUGGGUGCUUAAGGCUAUUUAUUUCUUUUGGUCUUGAGUUCAAUUCCUACUCAGCACAUAUUUUUUAAAUUUCGGUAACCAACUCUUCUCUUCUUUAUCACUUUAAACUUUUUAUUUUUUUCUCCCUUACUCCUUGUGUUGAUUGUUCGAACUCCACUAUUUUUAAGCUAAGAAGCACCCACCGUCUAAACUACACCACACCACAAGUUCCAACAAUGUCAACCCGACCAACAACACCAAUAACAACAUCAACAACAAAGAAAGAAAUAAAAUACAUAAAAACAUGAUACUGCCAACAAGACUUUUAAAUUUCUCCCAACAAAUGACUUUUUUUCUCAUCUUAUAAUAAAAAUUCUCGGUAUGUUUAUCCAACAAUUAAAAGUUCCUUCAAAUUUUUUAAAUAAAUAUGAUAUGGGAAAAUGGUAAUUAAAUAAAUAAAAAGAUGUAAAUAACAUUGCAAGAAGAAGACGAGAAUGAAAGAGCAAUAGUGAAUCAUAUCAUACCUUAAUGUCAAAAGGGGGGUCAAAACAACAAUUUCAGUCAAGGAAUCUAAGAUAUAGAUAUCGAUCGGUUUAGAUCCGAACGAAAACUUUUGAGAAAGAGGAGAGAAAAAAAAGGAUGUGAUAACCCUAAAGAGGAUAGAAAGAAAAAAGAUGAGAGAUUUAGGGCUGAAGGAGAGGAGGGGAGAGAUGAGAUAAUUCUAAUUUCUAGAUGUACUACCCUUAUUAUUAAAUGACUAAACAAAGUGUAUUUAUUCAAAUUUAUAUUUACAAAGCAUAAUUAAUAAGACUAAUUUGAUAGUAAAAUAAACUCCUUAUUAAUAUUUUCUUGAUGGGAGUGCCAAGUCAAUAGGAAACGGAAGAAGUAUUAGAGGUUUCAAUAUUCAUUAAUUAAUAUUCUCUAAUAAUUUGAGGUGCACGAGGAAGAAAAUGGCUGACAUUGAAAAGACAGGACAAGACUACUCAAUGAGAUUUUUGAGUUAUCCAAGAAAUAUUUUUUACCGCCUUUAGUAGUAAUACUACUUUAUUUACUCGGACAGUAGCUUGCUUUAAAAUUAAAAGAAAAAAAAAAGAUUUUCAAACAGAUAUGUCAUUUGUUGCAACAGAUUUAGAUAUCUGUUUGAGAAAUCCCAAUAGCUCAGUCAUAUGUGAAAAUAGAUGGAAAUGUCAUUUGAUAACUAAAACAGAAACGUCAUCUGUUACAACAGAUAUCAAUAUCUGUUUGAAAAUUUCCAACACCUCAGUCAUCCGUCAUAACAAAUACAAAUGUCUAUUUGAUAAUUAAAUAAGAAAUGUCAUCUAUUGCAACAGAUAUUGUUAUCUGUUUGAAAUUCUCCAACAGCUCAGUUGUUUGUUGCAACAGAUUUCAUUGCAAUUGAUUUAGGAUGAACUAGGGAUGAAAGAAUGAGUUCCUCAUUAACUUAAUGUUAAGAUUAAUAAUAGUACCUACAUUGAUCUAGGUGGAACGAGGGAUGAAUGAAUGAGCUAAUAGGGUCAAUUACAAAUCCAAUUGAGUCGUUGCAUUUGCAUGGUGUUAGUAUUGCAUUCAUCUCGACCCGAAUCAUCGAUCAAUCACUCUGAGUUGAAAUGUGUUCUCAUUAACUUAAUGUUAAGAUUAAUAAUAGUACCUACAUUGAUCUAGGUGGAAUUAGGGAUGGAUGAAUGAGCAUCAACUACAACUUCAAUUGAGUUUUUUUGGCAAUUGCAUGAUGAGACGGUACUGCAUUCCUCCCGACAAGAUUCAUCGAUCAAUCACUUUGAGACGAACCAAUUUUUACUACCUCGUAUUUUCAAAUAAUACCUUAAUUGAAUAAUCUGGGUCUAGGGGUGAGUUCUCAUAUGGUCAACUACAACUUCAAUUGAGUCUUUUGGCAAAUGCAUGAUGAGACGGGACUGCGUUCCUCCCGACAAGAGUCGUCGAUCGAUUACUCUGAGCUGAACUGAUUCUUACUACCUCAUAUGUCCAACUAAUACCUUAAUUGAUUAAUCUAGGACUAGGGGUGAUUUCUCAUAAUGUCAACUACAAUAGGUGAUAACGCCUAUUUGAUAAUUUACAACAGAUGGGUAAUCUGUCGCAACAGAUGACUUAAUCUGUUUGAUAGUUUACAACAGAUUCGUGAUCUAUUGCAACAAAUGACAUAAUCUAUUUGAUAGUUUACAAUAGAUUGGAUAAUAUGUUGUAAUAGAUUACAUAAUUUGUUUGAUUGUGUGUUGCUAAUAUUGCUGCAUUUGUUUUGUAUUUUGCUACUUUGCUGUCUCUUUUCUUACAAUCCUGCAUCCGAUACUGUACUUUUGAGCAAGGGUCUUUAAGAAACACAGCCUCUCUACAAAGGUAGGGGUAAGGUCUUCAUACAUCCUACCCUGUGUACAUCUUAUCCUCCCUAGAUUCCAUCACACUGGUUAUGUUGUUGUAAGCUAUAUUAAUUCUUCAUUUUCUCCAAUGGUUUGAAAUAACUACUUCGUCUCUUUCCUUUUUUCCCAAGUUUUUAUUGUACUUUGUUUUCCUAAGUACGUGCAGAAAGUACUAAUGAUGAGAAUGACUCAUUUGAUUAGAAGAACCAAUGGUACAGGCUGUGCUUACUACAGCAUUUCCUUAGCCGUGGUGGAUAACCCCUCUUUUGUAAUCUGGGAGGACUUCAUCAGUUUCUUGAACCUUGCAACACCAUCCCACAGAGCAGAUCUUGUAUAGAUAUUUGAGAGAAUAACAUAAUUCUCAGGAUUCCAUGGCUCCAACACAGAAAGGAAUUCGACUGCUUGUUCAGCCAGUUCAACAUUGCCAUGGAAACUGCAGGCUCCUAGCAGAGUUCCCCAUAUAACAUUUUCAGGUCUCAUUGGCAUGCUUUGUAUAAGAUCAUAAGCUUCCUGCAAUCUCCCAGCCCGGCCUAAGAGAUCAACCAUACAGCGAUAGUGUUCUAAUUUUGGAGUUAUGGAGAAUCUUCUCUCCAUCACUUUUGAGGAGUUCCCAUCCCUUCUCUACCAUGCCUCCAUGUGUGCAUGCUAAGAUUUCUCCGACAAAUGUUACAUCAUCUGGUGUAUUUCCUUCUCCCUGUGUGAUACAAGUCAAAAAAUACUAAAAUGGAAACGUCACACAAAUAAUGGAAAACACUAAAAAUAAAGAAACAAGAUAGAAAAUAAAAGGGAUAGAUAGAUUGAGACAAUGACAUAAAGAGAGGACAAUCUAAUGGUAUAUCAAACCUGAAGAUCUUCCUAUCGAAAUAUCACAAGCACCAACCUCUUACGAGGACCUCACGGGAAUGGACCCGAGCAAUCCACAUUUCUCACAUUCAAUGUAACUCCCAACAAGUUACCACUAAACACUCUCAAGUGUAUUUCAAUUCAUCAUUCAAAAUCAUCUCCUUAAAAUGAAGGCUAACUAACUAUUUAUAGGCCAUGGGUCUUUACUACACAAUGUACCCAAAAGUGACCCUAAAAGCUAUUGGGCUCAAAAGUGACCCAAAGCCCAAAAUAAUGUCAUGGGCAUCCUUGCUCUCUCGAAGCCCACGCUAUCUUCCAAACACGUCGUGGCUCAAUGCUCCCGUGUAUGACAUCAUCAAAUGUAGCUUCUCCCGCGCUCCAAGCUAUCAUCCACACACGUAUUUGUUCCCCUAAAACAACCAAAUCUUGGAUCCAUAGAUGUGAUCCUUGAAGCAUCGAUCCCAAAGGAGUGGAGCCAUUGAUCUUGUUUCACAGUGUCGAUAGCACAACACUCGCAUAAAUUCCACUAUAAAAGCUCAUGCUUGCUGCGGUAAUUGGAUGUUUGAUAAGCACAACAACGGUAAAGAAGAACAAAGAGAAUAUUUGCAAAGGCUUACCAGCAUUUGAUUGAAAAUAUUAAGAGCUUCAUCACUUUUUCCAUGGACAGCUAACCCUAUGAUCAUGGUAUUCCAAGAACACAAGUUCCUCCUCCUACCAUUCUCGUGAAAGAGUUGCAUUGCCCUAUCAAUUCUAACACACUUUGUAUGCAUUUCAAGCAAAGCAUUACAAACAAACAUAUUCUUAAAGUAGCCACUUGCUCUUGCAUAAACUUCAAUCUUCUCCCCAAACUCCAGUGCCCCAAGAUUCGCACAAGCUGGAAGAACACUAGCAAUCUUAACUUCAUUAGGCUUUACCCCUCCGGCUUUCUCCAUUUCCUUGUAAAUAGCUAGUGCAUCCGCAUACUUCCCAUUUUGCGAACAUACAGAGAUCAUCACAGUCAAAGAAAUCACAUUCCUCGAAGGCAUUUCCGAAAACAACUUGAAAGCUUCUUCCAUAUUUCCAUUCUUGGCAUACCCCGCAAUCAAAGAAUUCCAAGUAGGCACAUCCUUCAUUUUCAUCUCAUCAAAGAGCUUCCGCGCAGAAGGAAACAACCCCAUUUUAGCAUACAUAUCAAAAAGUGCAGUUAACGUGUAAAUUUCAAUUUCAAAACCCCAUUUGAUGAAAUAAACAUGAACAUUUGGCUUUGAAUGGGUCUAGAAUGAUUGGCUCUUGCGGCGAAGACGAACGUGAAGGAGUGUGGAUUAGGGGAGCAGCCUUGACAGCCCAUCUAGAUGUAGAGAGAAAAACACUGGUUAGAAAUCCCAUGAGAAGAAUAGGCUUGAAUGAGCUUGUUGUAGAGGAAGAUGGUUUGGUAAUAUUGUCGAACACCGUGGGCGUACGGGAUGUUUGGGAAUUCAACAAUUUUGGUGAUCAAGUACUGGGUAAAGUCAAUGCCAUUUACGAGAGUGUGGGUGUGUAUUUGUUUCAGUUGGUUCAUAAGAAAUGUUUUAUUACGUCAACACACCAUGCAAAAAUCUACCUCAUAAGAGAUUUUCACGAUUCGAAAUUUGAUGAAUAAUCAAAAUAAUGUAAAGUAUGUGUUAUAAGAGAUUUAAGUGGUGUUCAUAUCGGUCAAACUUGUUGAUUCCAAACAAAUGCAAUUUAAUGAAGCAUGUGGCAUUGACAAUUUGAAACCUUGGAAAUACAUAAUUUAAGUUUUCUAGAUGUGAGCUUAAAUGGAGAAACACAAAAGGAUUUUUGUAGUCGAUCACAACUUGUUUGGAUUGGAGUGUAGCUAUUGUUGUUGGAAAAUGAGAGGUUUUGUAAAAUUGAUUUUGAUACAACCAAAACAAGAUGAGGUAUGUGAAUUCUCCCUGACCAUGGGCUCAAUUUAAUUUCAUCUUAUGUCCCUAAUCUGUAUUGUGAGGACUCAGUCAUAAAUUGACUAGUUUUAACUUGGAGGUUAGUAGCGAAAAUUAGUUUGUAAUGCAUAUAGCUAUUGGUAACAUUUUUUCUUAAUUUGUAAUCAUGAGUUCACGUAAGAAUGCAUAUUGUUGCGACCUAAGCCGAGGCCCUGGACGAGACGGGCUUCCCAAACCAUCAAAGACUCGAGAGACCCCUGUCUCUGCCCAACUGUCAUUACCCGAGCCGAGGCCCUGGCCGCGCCGGGCAUCCUGGACCAUCAAAGGCCUGAGAGACCCUUGUCUCUGCCCAACCCUCUAGCGAUAUUGUGCGCUCUGGGCUCAAGCCCGCACGGAUUUAAAACGCGUCACUAGUUAGUAAGGCUUACUUACUUAUAUAACCAGUUUGUUCCUGUUUUCAAUGAGUAUCCAGAAGUUUUUCCUGACGAUCUUCUAGGAGUUCUUCCUGAUAGAAAAAUAGAUUUUGGGAUUGAUCUUCUUCCCGACACUCAGCCUAUCUCUAUUCUACCAUAUAGAAUGGCUCCUGCAGAGUUAAGAGAGUUGAAAGAGCAGUUGAAAGAUCUUCUUGAUAAAGAUUUUAUUAGGCCUAACAUUUUUCCUUGGGGUGAUCCAGUCUUGUUCGUGCGUAAAAAAGAUAGUUCACUUCGGAUGUGCAUCGAUUAUCGCCAGCUGAAUAAAGUCACUAUAAGGAAUAAGUACCCCUUCCUAGAAUAGAUAUUCGAUCAGCUACAGGAUGCCAAGUAUUUUUCUAAAAGAGAUCUCAGAUCUGGUUACCAUCCUUUAAAAGUUACAUAAUGUGAUACUCUGAAGACAGCUUUCUAAACUCGAUAUGGUCACUUUGAAUUUUUAGUUAUGUCCUUUGGUUUGACUAACACUCCUGUAGUUUUUAUGGACCUUAUGAAUAGAGGUGUUUAAACCAUAUUUGAAUAUGUUCGUAAUUUUCUUCAUUGAUGAUAUUUUGGUCUACUCUCGAAGUAAGGAGGAGCAUGCUAAUCAUCUCAGGAUUGUUCUUCAAACACUUAAGAACCGUGAGCUGUAUGUUAAAUUCUCUAAGUGUGAAUUUUGGUUGGAGUCGGUAGAAUUUUUGGGCCAUAUUAUUUUCGGUAAAGACAUUAAGGUUGAUUCUCAAAAGAUUGAGGCAGUGAAAAAUUGGCCCAGACCUACUAUACCUUCUGAAAUUAGAAGCUUUAUAGGUCUAGCUGGUUACUACAGGAGGUUUGUGGAGGGAUUUUCCUCCAUUGCCACUCCUUUAACUAGAUUGAAUCAGAAAAUGGUCAAGUUUCAAUGGUCGGAGGCAUGUGAUAAGAGUUUUCAGGAGCAAAAAGAUAGAUUGACCUUCCCCCCAGUGUUGACUUUACCGGAUGAAAAUAAAGGCUUCGUGGUUUAUUGUGAUGCUUCACGGGUUUGUAUUGGUUGUGUAUUGAUGUAACGUGGUAAGGUUAUAGCCUAUUCCUCAAGAAAAAUUAAAAAUAAUGAGAGGAAUUACCCCCUCACGAUUUUGAAUUAGCAGCUGUGUCUUUGCUUUGAAGAUUUGGCAUCACAAUCUUUAUGGGGUACAUGUUGAUAUUUUCACUAAUCAUAAAAGACUCCAAUAUGUUUUCAGUCAGAAGGAGUUGAAUCUCAGGAAGAGAAGGUGGCUUGAUUUAUUCAAGGACUAUGAUUUAAGUUUGCUCUAUCAUUCUGAUAAGGAGGGGAAAACCUCAGUCCUGAGUGUAGACAAAUCUCAUUCGGUGGGGCAAACCUCAGCGAGGAUGCUGAGUCCAUAAAGGGGGUGUAUGUAACACCCCAACUUAGGAAGGAGUCCCACAUCGACAAAACACAGGAGGGAUACUGGGUAUAUAAGUAAGUAAGUCUUACUAACUAGUGACACAUUUUAAAGCCGAGGGCCUGGGCCCAAAGUGGACAAUAUCACUGAUUGGUUGGGCAGAGACAUGGUCUCUCGGUCCUUGAUUAUUUGGGAUGCCCGUUGCUGCCAGUGACUUGGCUCGGGUCGCGACACAUAUCCUGUUAUAACAUGUUUGCAGUCCUUCGGGAACAAGAUGGCAUAACACAAAUACGACACCCAUAAGUAAUAGAAAAUAGAGAAAUCUAAACAGAUUCAUAAUAAAACAUGAAACAAGGUAUCAUAACAAGAAUAAUACCCCCACCAAGUAAUUCCCUAAACUAACGACCCAGACUGACCCUAGCCUUCUGCCCUAAUUCGCGUCCUCCAGAUCUUCCUAUCUAGGGUUAUGUCCUCAGUGAGCUGUAACUGCUCCAUGUCCCGCCUAAUCACCUCUCCCCAGUACUUCUUCGGCCUACCCCUACCCCGCCUAAAACUAUCCAAAUCUAGCCUCUCACACCUACAAACCAGGGAAUCCAUGUCCCUCCUUAUCACGUGUCUGAACCAUCUCAAUCGGACUUUCCGCAUCUUAUUCUCCACUGGCGUCACACCAACUUUCUCCCUGAUAGUCUCAUUCCGAACUCUAUCCCCCCUAGACAUCCCACACAUCCAACGCAACAUCCGCAUUUCUGCCACUUUCAUUUUUUGAAUGUGGGAGUUCUUAACUGGACAACACUCCGCUCCAUACAACAUGGCCGGACGGACUACCACCCUGUAGAAUUUGCCUUUAAGCUUGGGCGGCACCUUCUUAUCACACAACCCCCCCGAAGAGAGCUUCCACUUCAUCCAUCCCGCCCCAAUACGGUGCGAGACAUCCUCAUCAAUCUCACCGUUCCCCUGAAUCACGGACCCGAGAUACUUGAAACUAUCCCUCUUACAUACCACCUAUAAUUCCAACUUCACUACCACCUCAUUCUCCAGCCUCACGUCAUUAAACUUGCAUUCCAAAUACUCUGUCUUGCUCUUACUCAACCUGAACCCUUUAGACUCAAGAGUUUGUCUCCACACCUCUAAUUUAUCAUUCACACCCACCGCGUCUCAUCAAUCAAAACUACAUCAUCUGUAAAAAGCAUAGACCAAGGAACCUCUCCUUGAAUAUGCCGCGUCAACACAUCCAUCACCAAAGCAAACAAAAAGGGACUAAGAGUAGAUCCCUGAUGCAAUCCUGUCAAGACAGUGAAAUGCUCUGAGUCUCUUCCCGCCGUCCUCACCUGAGUAAAGAAAAUAAUCUGAAGAGUAACAGGCCUUACAACUACAUAUAAUGAAAUUCUAACAAAAAGUCUUAGAAAUUUACAUCCCAACAAAGCUUAUACCAUAAAAGUUGAUUUAGUACAGUAAUAUACUUACCAUAAAAGUUGAUUGAGUUUAGUACAGUAAUAUACUUACUUAUACAACUGGAUUAUUGUACACCUAAUUAAUUUCAUAUGAUUAAUUUACAUAACAUUACUACGUAUAACUAAGGUUUAAUUUUCAAAGACUGUUCAAUGCUUAUUCUUCUUCAUCAUCAUCUUUAUCAAUGGUUGAGUCUCUUCAUAGAGAUUAAAGACUGACCGGAACUUCUUUUUCCUUAUUAAUUUAGCCGUGGCCGUUGAAGAAGAAGAUGUCUCCUGUGUAUUUUUCCUGCUUUCUUCGUCAUUAUCAGAAUCUCCGCUAAGCUAAAUUAACUGCAAAGCCGCAUCCAUUUCCAAUUCCGUAGGCAUAUAGUGAACUUUCAUCAAUUUCACCAUUGUUGUUGGAGGAGAAAAUUGAAGGAUAUGGAGUUGCAAUGCAGGGGAGUGGGUUUAUUAUAAAGGAAGCGAUUGGAAAUCUUCUCUUAGCUCUACUUGGAAAAGGAUUUAAGUAGGGGUAAUAUUGUAAAUUCACACUCAGUUUUGUUAAGUAUAACUGUAUCAGGAAGCAAUUGGAAAAUCUUUUAGUUCUACUUGGAAAAGAAGUUAAGUAGGGGUAACAUUGUAAUUAAUGCUCAUUAUUUUUUAUGUUUCACAUCAACCGCCUUUAAAUUUUUAAAACUGUCUACUUCAAUAUUAAGUGCUUUAUGAACAAUUUGUUCUUAAAAAAGAUAUAUUAUAUUUAAGUCUCUUUUUUUCUCACAAAUAAAUUAUGUGUGUUAUAAUAAUAAAUACUCCCCCGUCCCAUUUUACUCAUCCCAAAUUUUCUAAUUUGAUUUCUCAUUUUACUUGACAUUUUUCAUUAAUGAAGAUAGGAUAAUUUUUUUGCUUUUUGACCUUUAAUAUUAAUUAUUUUAUCUCCAAAUUAAAAUGUAAUCAUCAUUUAAUAGAGAUACUAUGGUAUAUAGCCAUGUUAUAAAUUGUUUUUCUUAAUCAAUGUGGAAUGUCAAAUUGAGAUGAGUAAAAUGAGAUGGAGGGAGUAUUAAUAUAAUUAAGCUAAAUCAAUUAUGAAAGUCCAACGACACUUCAUGACUUCAAUGCAAUAGGACGUUUGGAUUAUUAUUUUUAAGUGACUUAAAAGUUAAAAAUCAAAAAGUUAAUUAUGCCUUGCAAUCUACUGAUAAACUUGCAUGUUUGCCUGGACUCUGGCACUAAAAUUCACGUUGAGCCAUCCGUCAUGUUGAAUCUCCAUUCCAAAAAUUGUAGGCACCUCAUUUUCCUUGACCAUAUUUGCUAAAAAUAACACCUUGUUCCAAACUCCUUUCUUAUCGGUUGUACUUUAAUAUUGAAUUGGCUAAGGUUGUUUGAGGACUGUUGGAGAUUGAGACUUCAAAUUACCAUGUGUUUAUUAGAGGACUACAGCUUUAUAAGUUAUCAUGAAUUGGUGGUAAAGUAUGUCAUAAGAAUGCACACAUUAGAUAUAUAUAUAUACUCUCAUGCUCCAAGAUUUAAUUUGUACCUUUAUAGGGGUUGUACGGGAAACUUUAUAUUUUAGUCAGGUAAGCUCAGGCAUUUUUUGUUUUAAACAAAUAGUGGGCAUUGAUUUGAUAUUCAUAUUUAUUCAUAGUUCUUGUUCUAAGAGCGUGCCUUAAAACUAACAUAUCAAUACUUUUUAAAGUGGAACCAAAUGUAAAACGUCAUUAAUUUGAUAUUUGUUUUGUUUAUCUAUCGACUAAUAUUAUCUUCAUAUCUUAAUUAUGUCAUCCUUUAAUUUGUAUAUAAUCAAUCCCUAUUUUUUCCCAUUUGAUUACAUAUAUCAUAAUUUUAAGAAUAAUAAGUGGGAAAAUUAUGAAAAUUGCAGUAAUUAGUUCUCCCUCAACUUGCAUUCAAUCAAAUUAAAUCCUUUUUCCCUUUUAAUUUCUUUCUAAUUCUAUCUUAAGUUGCUCGUAGUGCAAUUAACGGUCCACCAAAAGCAAGAUGGGUGUGCUUGUCUAUUUUAUGUUUUUCAUUUUCACAUCGAAAUGUACAAAAUAUUGAAUUUGAGUGAUAUUGUUUGAAGAGCCAAAAAUCUAAAUAUACAUCUGAGAAAAGAGCAUAAGGAUGAAAUUUAACAUCUAGAAUUGCUUCUUCUGGUCAAAACGAUCACCAUGAUCAAUAUCAGGCUCAGUUGACAUACAAUCUCUUAUGGUACAGAAUUGCAGUAGAAUGAUCAUUGGAUGGACUUUUUAUAGGGGAACAAGCCUCAUGUGGUGAGUUAAUAUUGCUCCAGUUUUUCACCUUCCUCAAACUCUUAACUCUUCUAGUACUACUACUACUUCUUUGGUUGUUAUCAUUUCCACACCAAUUGACAACAGAAUAAGAUUUCAACAUUCGAUGAGGAGAUCCCUGAAAUGAAGUAUACCAGUAGUACUCUUGCAGCUUUGAAUUUCACUUACUUUUCUUUGAAGGUCAUCAACUUUUUUAGUACUUUUUCUUGAACUUGAUAUCCUUUUGGAGAUUGGCCUAACGAAUCCAAACCACUUAACCAAGAUUUUGCGCGAAAAAUUCCUCCAUUUUUCAAGAUAAUCAGCUUGACUAGUUGUGAAAUUUGAAAGUUUAGAUAUUGGUGUGGGAGGAGUACUAGUUGAGGGUACUGAUGAAUUUGUGUUGAAAUUAUUGAAGGCUUCACGAAAAGAUUCAAUCUUUGAUCUAUCAAGAUAUUGAGGCAUGAUACAUCCAUCAGAGAAGAUUUCAUCAGCACAAACAAAUUCUGAAAUAGGAUGAACAUCAAAGAUGAAGUUUUGUUCUUCUUUUAGGAAUCUUUUCAAAUAAGCGAUAAAUUUUAACUCUUCCUCCGCAUCCUCAUGACUAAUAUAAGAGGGACUAGGGGAUUCUGUUAGGCCACCAAUGGAUGGUUUUUUGUUCAACAACCAGCUAUAUGAAGGCAAGAGGUUGUUGGGAAUUUUCCAUAGUGAAUAAUAUACUAGAAUACAACCUCUCUACUUCACAUGAGGUAGUAGUAUGAUGUGCGUACACUUUAUUUUCCCCAGACCCCACUAUAUGGAAAUACACUGGGUAUGUUGUUGUUGUUGUUGAAUAGUAUACUAUAAUAUGGGAAGAAAGGAAAAGGAAAAUCAGAUGCUUAUAUAAAGAAUUUACAGGUUACCGCUACAACAUAUUAAAACACACUUGUUGUAAAAAAAAAAAUUUAAGUUGUCAAUGUAUAUAAGUUAAAUCUGUAUAAAAAUAAAUGAUUGGCUAAGAAUAGAGGGACUCAUAUCAGCUUAUUAUACAGAGUGUGUAAAUUGUAAGUUGUCUCAUCAUUAUUUGAGGAGGAGUUGUUUAUAUAGCAAAAGAUCACAAAAAUAAAAGGAAGAAAAAUAUUUGAUAAUUCAAUCAAGGAGAUUAUUCAGUGAGGUAAAUCACUUAAUUCCACCAAUCAUGCUAUGUUUCCCACAAAUAAACAAAUAAGAAUCAGUCUAAAUCUUAAUAUUGAAAUCUUCCAUAAACAAAAUAAGGAAAAAAAAAUUAUCCCUACUUAUUAAAGAAAGUCAAGAGGGGGUAAAAGACAUUAGUAUCAAUCAAUUGCAAUUUCAUCUAAAUUUAUCAUAAUUAAUAGGUAAAUGAAUGUCUGUCACACUAAAUAAGGGCAAAGAGAAAUUAGAAAAUCAAUUAGUGAAAUAGUUCCUCACAAAUAAGGCAAAAUCGAAUUAGGCACAAAAUCAGGGUAAAUGAGUCAAAUCGAUAGACAAAAUGUAC